Long non-coding RNA from Oncorhynchus tshawytscha (Chinook salmon), 1219 nucleotides. NCBI's taxonomy places the organism in Eukaryota, Metazoa, Chordata, Actinopteri, Salmoniformes, Salmonidae. The record is from Ensembl.
CCUCUGCCUUGUGGGAUCCAAAAACAAAGUUCUGUGAGUUUGCUUCAUUUUUCCUGCUCUGGUCUCUGUAGUUACUGUCGCCAACCCCUUGCCUCCUGGACAGAUCUCCCGUCUCCUGAGAGGUCCCCACCAGAACGUCUUUAUAUGACAACUGCCCUACUGAUUGACUUGGACCUGAGGCAGGUUCUGUUCUGUUCUGAUCUUUUCUCUUAGAUGUCUUCUCAGGCACCUCCUGUGUUACUGAGGGAGCUGGACUAGUAGAUUGUUUUUGACUAGUGUUUGGCUCAUCUGUUGGGUCAGAACCCCUCUGAUCACCAAGGGAUACUUGGGAUUGGUCAACACACUUCUUUGAGUUUGCUUCAUUUGUUAUAUUCUCGUCGGUCUGGUUACUAGAGGUCUUCAGUUCAUUCAGAACUCUAACCUCUGUGUUGCCUUCACCAUCAAGGCUUUUUGAUGGCUCCGUUGACCCGUGUGACGUCCCCUUCAGGUCUUCCUCAUCCAAGAGUUUACUGGCUGGUUGAGUUGGGUCUGAGGCACGUCCUCCUGUGUUCUGAUCAGCUGUCUCGGGUGUGGAUGAGGCCUGUGUGACUGAUGUAGGACUAGGUUGGUUUGGCUCAUUCACUGGUGCGUCUACGUUUGCCUUCGAUGGACCCUUGGCCUGGUCUUCUGGCAGUGUCUGGUGUGGGGAUGGGUUUGGAGAGGCUAUAGGUAUGGUUGGAGGGCCAGUAGGUGUGGCGGUGAUGACAGGAGGGCCAGUAGGUGUGGCAAUGUUGACAGGAGGGCCAGUAGGUGUGGUGGUGUUGACAGGAGGGCCAGUAGGUGUGGUGGUGUUGACAGGAGGGCCAGUAGGUGUGGUGGUGUUGACAGGAGGACCAGUAGGUGUAGUGGUGUUGACAGGAGGGUCAUCCACCACUGAAGUAGAGCUCUCACUGACAGACAACUCAUCUUUCUCUUGACGUGUGUCAGUGCUCAGCUCAAUAGCGCUGGAAGAGCCUCCACUCUAUGAACAAUGUAUACAAAAAUGAGGCCUUUUAACACAUAAAUCAUUAAGGAUCAGCAUUUCUGAUUCAUAAGCCCUGCCCAUUAAAGCGUUCCCAUUCCAUGCUAAUUUCACUGGGUUCCCUUGACUUAAAACCCACGUCUGGUCACAUCCUAACGUCACAAAUUGAAAGUGUGACUGGUUCUGUUUAAACAAAUAUAUAAUUGUAAAUCUCUUAUC